UACGUAGGCAGCAAGCGUUGUUCGGAGUUACUGGGCGUAAAGGGUGUGUAGGCGGUUCUUUAAGUUUGGUGUGAAGUCUCCCGGCUCAACUGGGAGGGUGCGCCGAAUACUGAGGGACUAGAGUACGGGAGAGGAAAGUGGAAUUCCUGGUGUAGCGGUGAAAUGCGUAGAUAUCAGGAGGAACACCGGUGGUGUAGACGGCUUUCUGGACCGACACUGACGCUGAAACACGAAAGCGUGGGUAGCAAACAGG
Molecule: ribosomal RNA, 253 nt
Filed under: uncultured bacterium
Lineage: Bacteria
Description: partial 16S ribosomal RNA
Rfam family: Bacterial small subunit ribosomal RNA
Source: RNAcentral